RNAcentral lists this ribosomal RNA (865 nucleotides) under Penicillium roseopurpureum. Its description in RNAcentral is "LSU rRNA". It matches the Rfam family "Eukaryotic large subunit ribosomal RNA", at positions 85 to 968 of the family's 3401-position model. The record is from RNAcentral. Lineage: Eukaryota; Fungi; Ascomycota; Eurotiomycetes; Eurotiales; Aspergillaceae.
AACGGCGAGUGAAGCGGCAAGAGCUCAAAUUUGAAAGCUGGCCCCCUCGGGGUCCGCAUUGUAAUUUGCAGAGGAUGCUUCGGGAGCGGUCCCCAUCUAAGUGCCCUGGAACGGGCCGUCAUAGAGGGUGAGAAUCCCGUAUGGGAUGGGGUGCCCGCGCCCGUGUGAAGCUCCUUCGACGAGUCGAGUUGUUUGGGAAUGCAGCUCUAAUUGGGUGGUAAAUUUCAUCUAAAGCUAAAUAUUGGCCGGAGACCGAUAGCGCACAAGUAGAGUGAUCGAAAGAUGAAAAGCACUUUGAAAAGAGAGUUAAACAGCACGUGAAAUUGUUGAAAGGGAAGCGCUUGCGAUCAGACUCGCCCACGGGGUUCAGCCGGCAUUCGUGCCGGUGUACUUCCCCGCGGGCGGGCCAGCGUCGGUUUGGGCGGUCGGUCAAAGGCCCCUGGAAUGUAACGCCUCUCGGGGCGUCUUAUAGCCAGGGGUGCCAUGCGACCUGCCCGGACCGAGGAACGCGCUUCGGCUCGGACGCUGGCAUAAUGGUCGUAAGCGACCCGUCUUGAAACACGGACCAAGGAGUCUAACAUCUACGCGAGUGUUCGGGUGUCAAACCCGUGCGCGCAGUGAAAGCGAACGGAGGUGGGAACCCUCACGGGUGCACCAUCGACCGAUCCUGAUGUCUUCGGAUGGAUUUGAGUAAGAGCGUAGCUGUUGGGACCCGAAAGAUGGUGAACUAUGCCUGAAUAGGGCGAAGCCAGAGGAAACUCUGGUGGAGGCUCGCAGCGGUUCUGACGUGCAAAUCGAUCGUCAAAUUUGGGUAUAGGGGCAAAAAACUAAUCGAACCAUCUAGUAGCUGGUUCCGGCCGAAUUU